UCAAAAUUUCUAAUAUAAAAUAAAGUCAAUAUGCGUGAUUGCGCUCUCUGCGCUCUACCUCCUCCUCCUCCCGGCGCGGCAGUGGCAGGUCUGGCUGUGUAAGGUGAGGGAGGCGGAGACUUAGUCCCUGCUGGCUGCUCCGCCGCGGCGCCACU
Molecule: long non-coding RNA, 155 nt
Organism: Bufo bufo (common toad)
Lineage: Eukaryota; Metazoa; Chordata; Amphibia; Anura; Bufonidae
Exons: 3
Source: RefSeq, a predicted model, not a curated record